AGCAGCCGCGGUAAUUCCAGCUCCAAUAGCGUAUAUUAAAGUUGUUGCAGUUAAAAAGCUCGUAGUUGAAUUUCGGGGUUAGUAGAUUGGUCGUGCCUCCGGUAUGUACUGGUCUUACUGAUUCCUCCUUCUUGAAGAACUGUAAUGUCAUUAAUUUGGUGUUGCAGGGAAACAGGACUGUUACUUUGAAAAAUUAGAGUGUUUAAAGCAGGCUAACGCCUGAAUACAUUAGCAUGGAAUAAUGAAAUAGGACGUUUGAUCCUAUUUUGUUGGUUUCUAGGAUUGACGUAAUGAUUAAUAGGGAUAGUUGGGGGCAUUAGUAUUCAAUUGUCAGAGGUGAAAUUCUUGGAUUUAUUGAAGACUAACUACUGCGAAAGCAUUUGCCAAGGAUGUUUUCAUUAAUCAAGAACGAAAGUUAGGGAUCGAAGACGAUCAGAUACCGUCGUAGUC
RNAcentral lists this ribosomal RNA (450 nucleotides) under uncultured Glomus. RNAcentral's name for it is "SSU rRNA". It matches the Rfam family "Eukaryotic small subunit ribosomal RNA", at positions 569 to 1025 of the family's 1831-position model. The record is from RNAcentral. Lineage: Eukaryota; Fungi; Glomeromycota; Glomeromycetes; Glomerales; Glomeraceae.